GUUCAUACCGAAGGCCUAUAUUUCUUAUCUCUACUAUUUGAAUUUUUAUUUUUAUUUCAAUUUAUAUGAGUCAUUUAAUUUAUGAUAAAUAUAAACAAAUAUAUAUUAGAAAAUAAGUCCACCGAAUUUUUGCUAUUAUCUAAUUUGAACCAAUUAAGUAGCUCUCACCAGAUUCGACUCAAAUUCGAUUCAAACAAAUAAAUUUAUAUUUAAAAGGAAUUUAUCCUAAGUUUUUAUUUAGGCGUGUUUUUAUGAUGUUUGGUGUGAGUGGUAGAAGUGAAGUAAUUUGAGUGUUGGGGAGCUUGUCCAUGAGUCACUUAUUGACUGGGCAACCCUACUACUCCUAUGAAGGUAGCUAUAAGGGUGUUAAGCUGUCGUCUGUUAACUAAGUACACAUUUCCAAUUGGCUUCUUUUUUUCAGUCUGAAAGAUAAGGAACUUUUUCACAUUAAUGUUGACAUUUAGAAAGCACAUGUGUGACACUAAAAUAUCUAAAUUUUUUUUCAUUUUUACGCUAUCAGGUGAGCGAAUUCCACUAAGAUUAUACUCAAUCCCUGAUUGACUCAUAUAAGGCAAUUGAGGUGUCAUUUUUUUUCCACCAAUCAACUUCUUUAUUAUUCCUUCACCACCUGUCAGCUUACAACUUAACUAUAAAUAUCUUUUCAAAUUUAUCUAAAAAAUAAUAAUAUUGUAAAAUAAUGGUGUUAGAGAGUAUCAUAUAUUACAAAAAAUAAUAAGGAGAUAAGUAAUAUAUAUUGAUUUUAGGAUAAGAAAACUAUCAAUCUCCCAUGAAAGAAUAUAUGAGAAAUAUUUAUUUUACAGUGAGAAAGUAAAUUUAAGGUCUUUUUUUUUAAAUUUUAAAUAAGAUACUUCCAUUUAACUCAUCACAAUGAUUCAAAUAUAGACAUUUAAACUCUCAAGUAUAACAAUAAACAUUCUUUAUUUUGAUAUACUUUUUUUUUUCGAGGUAAAGACAUUAUAGUAUAUCAAUAGCUUUAUCUACCUCCAAGGCUCCAAAAUAAAAGAAAAUCACUUAUGCAAAAGAGUUUAGAUAUUUCUAAUACAAUGGAGGGACUAACUGUUUCAUUGAGGCAAAUUAAAAAUCUUCCUUUUUCUUUCUCUCUUCUAUGCAUUCACUUCUCAAAAAUCCUUAGUCUGGCAACAAAAAAAUGUUCUCACCUCUAAGACCUCAAAGAAAACUGCAAAAAAAAUCAAAAUAAUAAUUAUUGCUGAUUUCAGAUUGAUGGUUUUAAAAAAGAGUAAAAAUCAAUGGGAUGGAUUGAUGAUGAGAUUUAAUCAUAUUUUCAAUUGUACACAAGAGUGAUGAUGCAAUUUUCUUCUAAUUUCUUCUCUCUCUCUUUUCAUGUCGAUGAUGGGACCUCGCUAAUUUGUCUAUGAUGAAAUAUAUACAUGGUGGAAGCCUCAUUUACACAUUCAACUUUGCAUUUAGCCCAGACAAGCGGAGAAGGGCCUGGUUUUAAGGGGAAAAAAAAAUGCCCCGCCCAUAUUUAAAUUUUAAAUAAAAAAUCGCACCUAAUUACUUGAUAAAUUUCAUUUUUUUAAUGUUUAAUUAUAUCAUAUCCAAGUGUUCUUACAAUAACUAAUGCAAUUUAUGAGGAUUGAUGGUACGCUAGUUGGAAAAUUUUAUUUUUUACCAUUAUUCCAUUAUUUGUAUCAACAAAUACAUGUACAUAGAUCGAAUGGCACAAAAUUGUUUCCAUGAUUAUGUUACUAAUUAUUAUUGUUUCCAUGUAGAAAAAGGUUUGUUGUACAUUGAUACUUAUUUUCAUCCGUAAUUAAUUUUCUACUUUACACUCAAAAUCUGUUUUUUUUUUUUUUCCAUCACUAAGUUUGUUGAUUCCAUAUAUAUAUAAGUGCAUAAAUUGAUUUCCAAUUCCAUUAUUGGUCCAUAUGGAAAAAAAAUUAUUGUACUUUAAACAUUGUUUUCCUUUUUUUUUGGUAAUUACUUGACUUUUAGAAAAUUUUAAGAUCAUUCACAUACAAUUUUUAACAUUAGGAUUGUCUUGUUUUAAAUAUGGGAUAAGGGCUGAGCCAGCCCGAUCACCCGAACAUAUUGGAGGGCUGGAUUUAGGCUUGGCCAAGCCUAGCCCGUUUGCCAACCCUAUGGAAAGAAGAAAAUGACUUUAAAAUAUGUAAUAGGACCCAUGGUUUUAUUUUCAAAAAAAUUGUCAAUCUCAAUAUGGACCAUUGAAAAAUAACUAUAAGCCAAUGUAAAAAUUUGUGUUUGAAAACAUAUCCUUGAAUCAAUUGCUUGAAUUUAGAAGUAUAUCCCUUGAAUCAACUGCUUGUAUUUAAAAGUAUAUCCCUUGAAUCAACCACUAAUUAAUUGAUUAAUAGUAAAAUUUAUUGAUAUAUUUAAAUUCUAAAAGAAAAUCAAGGACUUCACUGGAACUAAAAUAUUUUUAGGCUGUGUUUGGUAUUGAGAAACUGUAUUUUUUAAGUUACAACUGUUAUGGAAAAAAACUAUAAUUAUGAAAU
This 2498-nucleotide long non-coding RNA is filed under the name Citrus x clementina. RNAcentral describes it as "Citrus clementina (C. clementina) long non-coding RNA (CCLE_LNC003390)". Lineage: Eukaryota; Viridiplantae; Streptophyta; Magnoliopsida; Sapindales; Rutaceae. The record is from RNAcentral.